Molecule: unclassified non-coding RNA, 350 nt
Filed under: fungal sp.
Lineage: Eukaryota; Fungi
Description: partial internal transcribed spacer region
Rfam family: Eukaryotic small subunit ribosomal RNA (bases 1-46)
Source: RNAcentral
AAGUCGUAACAAGGUUUCCGUAGGUGAACCUGCGGAAGGAUCAUUAUCAAAUUAUCCGAAACUUUUUUUUUAAUGUUUUCAUUAACAUUAAAAAAAAAUAUCAACCAACCGUGAACUGUUUUGCCUCCAAUGAGGGAGAGAGCGUGCGGGGUAACACUUGCACUAGUAUCUUUCUGAUUGGUUGUAUUUUAUAUAUAUUAAUUUAUAUUAUAUUAACCCUUCUAACAAAAACUUUUAAACUUAAUUUUUGAACUGAAUUAAUUUUCUUUUUUCCUAUUCAUUUAGGGAAAACUAAAAUAAAAUACGAAAAAUUAAUUGAACAACUCUUAGCAACGGAUAUCUUGGUUCUC